GAGGGUGUAGCUCAGUGGUAGAGCGCAUGCUUAGCAUGCACGAGGUCCUAGGUUCAAUCCCCAGUACCUCCA
RNAcentral lists this transfer RNA (72 nucleotides) under Camelus bactrianus (Bactrian camel). It matches the Rfam family "tRNA". Rfam says of the family: Transfer RNA (tRNA) molecules are approximately 80 nucleotides in length. Their secondary structure includes four short double-helical elements and three loops (D, anti-codon, and T loops). The record is from Rfam by way of RNAcentral. Lineage: Eukaryota; Metazoa; Chordata; Mammalia; Artiodactyla; Camelidae. RNAcentral also lists the same sequence under 2 other names.